UGGUAAGGUGACGGCUUACCAAGGCGACGAUCAGUAGCCGACCUGAGAGGGUGAUCGGCCACAUUGGAACUGAGACACGGUCCAAACUCCUACGGGAGGCAGCAGUGGGGAAUAUUGCACAAUGGGCGAAAGCCUGAUGCAGCAACGCCGCGUGAGCGAUGAAGGCCUUCGGGUCGUAAAGCUCUGUCCUCAAGGAAGAUAAUGACGGUACUUGAGGAGGAAGCCCCGGCUAACUACGUGCCAGCAGCCGCGGUAAUACGUAGGGGGCUAGCGUUAUCCGGAAUUACUGGGCGUAAAGGGUGCGUAGGUGGUUUCUUAAGUCAGAGGUGAAAGGCUACGGCUCAACCGUAGUAAGCCUUUGAAACUGGGAAACUUGAGUGCAGGAGAGGAGAGUGGAAUUCCUAGUGUAGCGGUGAAAUGCGUAGAUAUUAGGAGGAACACCAGUUGCGAAGGCGGCUCUCUGGACUGUAACUGACACUGAGGCACGAAAGCGUGGGGAGCAAACAGGAUUAGAUACCCUGGUAGUCCACGCCGUAAACGAUGAGUACUAGCUGUCGGAGGUUACCCCCUUCGGUGGCGCAGCUAA
This 586-nucleotide ribosomal RNA is filed under the name uncultured bacterium. RNAcentral describes it as "bacterial SSU rRNA". It matches the Rfam family "Bacterial small subunit ribosomal RNA", at positions 250 to 855 of the family's 1533-position model. The record is from RNAcentral.